CGGCAGCACAGAAGAGCUUGCUCUUUGGGUGGCGAGUGGCGGACGGGUGAGUAAUGUCUGGGAAACUGCCCGAUGGAGGGGGAUAACUACUGGAAACGGUAGCUAAUACCGCAUAACGUCGCNAGACCAAAGUGGGGGACCUUCGGGCCUCACACCAUCGGAUGUGCCCAGAUGGGAUUAGCUAGUAGGUGGGGUAAUGGCUCACCUAGGCGACGAUCCCUAGCUGGUCUGAGAGGAUGACCAGCCACACUGGAACUGAGACACGGUCCAGACUCCUACGGGAGGCAGCAGUGGGGAAUAUUGCACAAUGGGCGCAAGCCUGAUGCAGCCAUGCCGCGUGUAUGANGAAGGCCUUCGGGUUGUAAAGUACUUUCAGCGGGGAGGAAGGCGGUGAGGUUAAUAACCUUGCCGAUUGACGUUACCCGCAGAAGAAGCACCGGCUAACUCCGUGCCAGCAGCCGCGGUAAUACGGAGGGUGCAAGCGUUAAUCGGAAUUACUGGGCGUANAGCGCACGCAGGCGGUCUGUUAAGUCAGAUGUGAAAUCCCCGGGCUUANCCUGGGAACUGCAUUUGAAACUGGCAGGCUUGAGUCUCGUAGAGGGGGGUAGAAUUCC
Molecule: ribosomal RNA, 614 nt
Filed under: Pantoea dispersa
Lineage: Bacteria; Pseudomonadati; Pseudomonadota; Gammaproteobacteria; Enterobacterales; Erwiniaceae
Description: bacterial SSU rRNA
Rfam family: Bacterial small subunit ribosomal RNA
Source: RNAcentral